CUUGAUUUAUAUAUUCUAUGCUCCCUUGAAAUAACUUUAAGAGUGGAUGUUAUGCCCAGUAGAACUGGAGGACCACAGCAGUCUUCAUUUUCCAUAACCAUCAAUUUCUUAAAUUUUUGGUAACAGUGAUAGGCAAUAUGUUUGAGAUUAUAUUCCCUGAGAUUAUAUAUUAUGACUGGCACACAUCUCUUUAUGUUUUGGGGUGAGUUGAAAUGGAGAUAGGAUUCAUAUUCUUGUCAUGAAAAAAGGAGAACACUAAGAAAUUCAUAGUCUCAAUAUACAGACUUUCUACUUCUAAUUUCAGAAGAUUAUGAAGCAGUAUCUACCAGUGGAGUAAAGACAAUCAACAUUUUUCUCAAUAUUUAGAGUUGAGCAGUCAACUCCAGCAUUUAAUCAAAUAGACAAUUGAGAACCAAGACAAUUCCAAAUCUUCACAUAGUAAAACAUUCUAGUAUUGGUUUAUUUAUUCAGUUAGCCAACAAAUGAUGUGUAGCAUCUACUAUCUUUAAACCAAAUGUAACUAAGCUCCUCUUUUCUUCCAACCCAUUGUAUGUACUUAUAAAAUGACUAACAUCAGGUGUGUGUGUGUGUGUUUGUGUCCACAUGUGUGUGUAAAUAGGUAUUGAAUCCAAGCUCUUGGACUUGGUAGGCGCACAAUCUACUACUGACUUACUUCCACAGUCUCCAGCCAAUAAUGAUUAACUUAUUUUUUUUCCAUUAAGUUUAUUGGUACAUUUUAGGUAUACAAUACAAUUACAUUCAUCAGUGGCAUCUUGUACCUUUACAUGAUGCAUCUUGGUUCUCAUUUUUUUCCCAUUUCCCUGCCCUCCCUUCAACCCCCUCCAUCCUUCCCUAUUUACAAAGACUUUGUUUCCAUUUUUUCUUUUCUAUUUUUCUUUUCCCUUCUUUCCCCUACCUCUUCUACUUCCAUUACCCCUUUAGACCUUUUCUUCCUAUUUCACAAUAUCAAUUAUACAUUUUGAUCUUUAUUUACACUUUUAGUUUUUCACAUCAGAGAAACUAUUUGGUAUUUACAAGUAUGUCCUAUUUAUUUCACUUAAGAGCAUGGCCUCAAUGUGCAUCCACUUAGCUAUAAAUAUCUCUAGUUUCUCAUUCUUUGUGGCUGAGUAGUACUCCAUUUUAUAAGAAAAAAUACAUCUUCUUUAUCCAGUCUCCAGUUGUUGGGGACUUGGGCUGUUUCCAAGUUUUAGCUAUUACAACUGUGCUGCUAUAAAUAUGGGUAAGCAUAUAUCACUGUGAUAUGAUUCUUUUAAUUCUUUUGGGAAGAUACCCAGCAGAGGAAUAGCUGGGUCAAAUGGGAAUUCUAAUCGUACUUUUUCAAGGUAUCUCCAUAUUGAUUUACACAGUGGUUGCAGCAGUCUGCAUUCCCACAACAAUGAAGCAGGGUUCCUUUCUCCCCUCAAUCCCGCCAGCAUUUGUUAUUGUUUGAUUUACCUUUCUUUCUGGGGUGAGGUGGAAUCUCAGUGUUGUUUUCAUCUGCAUCUCUCAAGUGACCAGUGAUGUUGAAUAUUUUUUCAUAUGUUUAUUUGCUGCUUUUACCUCUUUGAGAAAUGUCUGUUCAUUUUUUUUUUUUUUGGUACUGGGGAUCGAACUGGGGUCCUUGCACUUGCAGGGCACGUGGCAGAACCACUGAGCUAAAUCCCCGGCCUUGUCUGUUCAUUUUAGAUGCUCAUUUUUGAACUGAGUCUUUAAAUUUAGGGGGUCUGAUUUUUUUGAGUUCUUUAUAUAUUCUAGAUAGUAGAUCUUUGUCUGAGGAACAUCUGGUAAAAAUUUUUUGCCACAUUGUAGGUUGUCUCUCAGCUCUCUUGGUGGUUUCUCUUGCAGUGCAGAAGCUUUUUAAUAAGAUGAGAUCCCAGUUGCUGAUUCUUUGUGCUAGUUCCAGUGCUACUGAGGAUUUGUUCAUCAAGUCUUUUCCUAUGCUAAUGUCUUUGAGAGUUCUACCUAUCUUCCAUCAAGUUUAGUGUUUAUGUUUUAAUAUUUAGAUCUUUAAUCCGCUUCAAUUUUAGUUUAGUGCAUGCUGAAAGAUAGGGGUUUAGUUUUAAUCUUAGGCAAGUUGAAAUCCAGUUUUUCCAACACCAUUUAUUAAAGAGGCUAUCUUUCCUCCAGUGAGAGUGUUUGGCUCCUUUGUCAAAGAUGAGGUGGCUGAGUGUGUCUGGAGUUGAUUCUGCAUCUUCUAAUCUGUUUCAGUGAUCCUAUGGUCUGUUUCUUUGCCAGUACCAUGCUGUUUUUAUCACAGUAGCUUUGUAGUAUAGUUUCAAAUUGGGGAUUGUGAUACCCCCUACCUUGUCUUUAUUACCUAAUAUGGCUUUUGGUAUUCUAGGUCUAUUCUUGAUCCAAAUGAAUUUUUGGAUUGUUUUCUCCAGGUCUCUGAAGUAUGCUGCUGGGAUUUAAAUUGGGAUUGCAUUAAAUCUAUAUAGCAGUUUUGGAAGUAUGGCCAUUUUCACUAUGUUGAUUCUUCCUACCCAAGAGCAAGGGAUGUCUUUCCAUUUUCUGAUAUUGUCUUCAAUCUCUUUUUUCAGAGUGCUAUAGUUUUCAGAGAAGAAGUCUCUGAUUUCUUUUGUUAGAUUGCUUCCUAGGAAUUUCAAUUUUUUUGAUGCUAUUGUAAAACGAAUUGAUUGCCCCUUUUCUCUCUCAGUGAGUCUGUUUUCCAUGUACAGAAAAGCUAUUGAUUUUUGUGUGUUAACCUUGUAUACAGCUACUUUACUGAAUUUGGUUAUUAAGUCUAGAAGACUUUUGGUGGAGUUCUUGGGAUAUUCUAUAUAGAGUAUCAUGUCAUCUGCAAAUAAUGAUAAUUUGAUUCUUCAUUUCCUGUCUUUAUUCCUUUUAUUUCUUUCUAUUGUUUAAUUGCCGUGGCUAAUGUUUCCAAAACUAUAUUGAAUAGGAGUGGUGAUAGUGGA
This is a long non-coding RNA of Heterocephalus glaber (naked mole-rat), 2918 nucleotides long. The record is from Ensembl. Lineage: Eukaryota; Metazoa; Chordata; Mammalia; Rodentia; Bathyergidae.